This 508-nucleotide ribosomal RNA is filed under the name uncultured bacterium. RNAcentral's name for it is "partial 16S ribosomal RNA". It matches the Rfam family "Bacterial small subunit ribosomal RNA", at positions 28 to 507 of the family's 1533-position model. The record is from RNAcentral.
GACGAACGCUGGCGGCGUGCCUAAUACAUGCCAGUCGAACGCUUCUUUCCUCCCGAGUGCUUGCACUCAAUUGGAAAGAGGAGUGGCGGACGGGUGAGUAACACGUGGGUAACCUACCCAUCAGAGGGGGAUAACACUUGGAAACAGGUGCUAAUACCGCAUAACAGUUUAUGCCGCAUGGCAUAAGAGUGAAAGGCGCUUUCGGGUGUCGUUGAUGGAUGGACCCGCGGUGCAUUAGCUAGUUGGUGAGGUAACGGCUCACCAAGGCCACGAUGCAUAGCCGACCUGAGAGGGUGAUCGGCCACACUGGGACUGAGACACGGCCCAGACUCCUACGGGAGGCAGCAGUAGGGAAUCUUCGGCAAUGGACGAAAGUCUGACCGAGCAACGCCGCGUGAGUGAAGAAGGUUUUCGGAUCGUAAAACUCUGUUGUUAGAGAAGAACAAGGACGUUAGUAACUGAACGUCGCCUGACGGUAUCUAACCAGAAAGCCACGGCUAACUACGUG